RNAcentral lists this ribosomal RNA (263 nucleotides) under uncultured bacterium. RNAcentral's name for it is "partial 16S ribosomal RNA". It matches the Rfam family "Bacterial small subunit ribosomal RNA", at positions 793 to 1055 of the family's 1533-position model. The record is from RNAcentral.
GUCCACGCCGUAAACGAUGGGCACUAGGUGUGGGAGGUGUCGACUCCUCCCGUGCCGGCGCUAACGCAUUAAGUGCCCCGCCUGGGGAGUACGGCCGCAAGGCUAAAACUCAAAGGAAUUGACGGGGGCCCGCACAAGCAGCGGAGCAUGUGGUUUAAUUCGAUGCAACGCGAAGAACCUUACCUGGGCUUGACAUGUAAGUGACAGCCGUGGAAACACGGUCUUCCUUCGGGACACUUUCACAGGUGGUGCAUGGCUGUCGU